GACGAACCGUACGAACGUUAUUCGGAAUCACUGGGCUUAAAGGGCGCGUAGGCGGGCGGUCAAGUCUGUGGUGAAAUCCUCCGGCUCAACCGGAGAAUAGCUGGAGAUACUGAUCGUCUCGAGGGGGGUAGGGGCAUGUGGAACUUCCGGUGGAGCGGUGAAAUGCGUAGAUAUUCGGAAGAACACCAGUGGCGAAGGCAGCGAAUUGGCGCUUUAUUGACGCUCAGGCACGAAAGCAUGGGGAUCAAACAGG
This 253-nucleotide ribosomal RNA is filed under the name uncultured bacterium. RNAcentral describes it as "partial 16S ribosomal RNA". It matches the Rfam family "Bacterial small subunit ribosomal RNA", at positions 524 to 776 of the family's 1533-position model. The record is from RNAcentral.